GAAAUGCGAUAAGUAAUGUGAAUUGCAGAAUUCCGUGAAUCAUCGAAUCUUUGAACGCACAUUGCGCCCUCUGGUAUUCCGGGGGGCAUGCCUGUCCGAGCGUCAUUGCGAACCCCUCAAGCACGGCUUGUGUGAUGGGCCCUCCCGCGUCUUGGUCGUCAAGACGGGCCCGAAAAGCAGUGGCGGCUUCGCGGUUAUCCGAUCAGCCAGAGCGUAUGGGGACUUUCUCUCUGUCACACGCCCGCGGCGCGGACCGACGCCUGUCGACCUUUAUUCCUCUUUUUCUCGUUUGACCUCGGAUCAGGUAGGGAUACCCGCUGAACUUAAGC
Molecule: unclassified non-coding RNA, 329 nt
Filed under: plant metagenome
Description: partial contains 5.8S ribosomal RNA, internal transcribed spacer 2, and large subunit ribosomal RNA
Rfam family: 5.8S ribosomal RNA (bases 1-105)
Source: RNAcentral